ACCGUCUGUGAGGAGGAAGACCGUGCGUCCCGUCAGUAAUCAGCACCAGGUGGCUUAUAUAACACCUGUUUUCAGAGAUAACCAGUAGUACCAGCCACAUAACAACAAUCAACAACCACAUCCGCAAUAUCAACAUCAGCAGCACCGACCGCAGCAGCAGGCCUACCAGCCUCGAAACAGUAAUCAAACCAGCACGAGUUACGAGAGGAAAAAGGUCAGCUUCGA
This 225-nucleotide long non-coding RNA is filed under the name Lathyrus oleraceus (garden pea). RNAcentral describes it as "Pisum sativum (pea) long non-coding RNA (PSAT_LNC029708)". Lineage: Eukaryota; Viridiplantae; Streptophyta; Magnoliopsida; Fabales; Fabaceae. The record is from RNAcentral.